Non-coding RNA from Podarcis lilfordi (Lilford's wall lizard), 93 nucleotides. The record is from the annotation of a GenBank genome assembly. NCBI's taxonomy places the organism in Eukaryota, Metazoa, Chordata, Lepidosauria, Squamata, Lacertidae.
UCUGGGUAUAAGCUUUCGUAUGCAUGCACACUUCUUCAGAUACACGUGUAUCUGAAGAAGUGUGCAUGCAUACGAAAGCUUAUACCCAGAACA